This 1512-nucleotide ribosomal RNA is filed under the name Escherichia coli. RNAcentral's name for it is "partial 23S ribosomal RNA". It matches the Rfam family "Bacterial large subunit ribosomal RNA", at positions 397 to 1895 of the family's 2925-position model. The record is from RNAcentral. Lineage: Bacteria; Pseudomonadati; Pseudomonadota; Gammaproteobacteria; Enterobacterales; Enterobacteriaceae.
CUGUGAGCUCGAUGAGUAGGGCGGGACACGUGGUAUCCUGUCUGAAUAUGGGGGGACCAUCCUCCAAGGCUAAAUACUCCUGACUGACCGAUAGUGAACCAGUACCGUGAGGGAAAGGCGAAAAGAACCCCGGCGAGGGGAGUGAAAAAGAACCUGAAACCGUGUACGUACAAGCAGUGGGAGCACGCUUCGGCGUGUGACUGCGUACCUUUUGUAUAAUGGGUCAGCGACUUAUAUUCUGUAGCAAGGUUAACCGAAUAGGGGAGCCGAAGGGAAACCGAGUCUUAACUGGGCGUUAAGUUGCAGGGUAUAGACCCGAAACCCGGUGAUCUAGCCAUGGGCAGGUUGAAGGUUGGGUAACACUAACUGGAGGACCGAACCGACUAAUGUUGAAAAAUUAGCGGAUGACUUGUGGCUGGGGGUGAAAGGCCAAUCAAACCGGGAGAUAGCUGGUUCUCCCCGAAAGCUAUUUAGGUAGCGCCUCGUGAAUUCAUCUCCGGGGGUAGAGCACUGUUUCGGCAAGGGGGUCAUCCCGACUUACCAACCCGAUGCAAACUGCGAAUACCGGAGAAUGUUAUCACGGGAGACACACGGCGGGUGCUAACGUCCGUCGUGAAGAGGGAAACAACCCAGACCGCCAGCUAAGGUCCCAAAGUCAUGGUUAAGUGGGAAACGAUGUGGGAAGGCCCAGACAGCCAGGAUGUUGGCUUAGAAGCAGCCAUCAUUUAAAGAAAGCGUAAUAGCUCACUGGUCGAGUCGGCCUGCGCGGAAGAUGUAACGGGGCUAAACCAUGCACCGAAGCUGCGGCAGCGACACUAUGUGUUGUUGGGUAGGGGAGCGUUCUGUAAGCCUGUGAAGGUGUACUGUGAGGUAUGCUGGAGGUAUCAGAAGUGCGAAUGCUGACAUAAGUAACGAUAAAGCGGGUGAAAAGCCCGCUCGCCGGAAGACCAAGGGUUCCUGUCCAACGUUAAUCGGGGCAGGGUGAGUCGACCCCUAAGGCGAGGCCGAAAGGCGUAGUCGAUGGGAAACAGGUUAAUAUUCCUGUACUUGGUGUUACUGCGAAGGGGGGACGGAGAAGGCUAUGUUGGCCGGGCGACGGUUGUCCCGGUUUAAGCGUGUAGGCUGGUUUUCCAGGCAAAUCCGGAAAAUCAAGGCUGAGGCGUGAUGACGAGGCACUACGGUGCUGAAGCAACAAAUGCCCUGCUUCCAGGAAAAGCCUCUAAGCAUCAGGUAACAUCAAAUCGUACCCCAAACCGACACAGGUGGUCAGGUAGAGAAUACCAAGGCGCUUGAGAGAACUCGGGUGAAGGAACUAGGCAAAAUGGUGCCGUAACUUCGGGAGAAGGCACGCUGAUAUGUAGGUGAAGCGACUUGCUCGUGGAGCUGAAAUCAGUCGAAGAUACCAGCUGGCUGCAACUGUUUAUUAAAAACACAGCACUGUGCAAACACGAAAGUGGACGUAUACGGUGUGACGCCUGCCCGGUGCCGGAAGGUUAAUUGAUGGGGUUAGCG